RNAcentral lists this long non-coding RNA (290 nucleotides) under Pan troglodytes (chimpanzee). RNAcentral describes it as "long non-coding RNA NONPTRT011959". Lineage: Eukaryota; Metazoa; Chordata; Mammalia; Primates; Hominidae. The record is from RNAcentral.
AGAUGGUGAAAAUCAUUUUCCCUCUGCAAAUACCCAAUUUGUUCAACCCUUUAACGCUGUUAAGAUGAGCCUUGUCUCCUUGAAUCUGAUUUACAACCUUGUCUGAGUCAAAAGAGGCUACCAGAAUCUGUGGCCUAAUUAUGCCCAUGUUACCCCUAUUAAUGCUAAUAGAGCCCAGCCUUCACAUGUGAGAAAGUAGACUGUCAGUUCACAGAGCUCAGCCUUCCUGCACUGAUCCCCCUGGCCCCCCACCCCAGUAUCAAUUAACUUCACAGAGAAUUCCCAUUUGC